RNAcentral lists this ribosomal RNA (254 nucleotides) under uncultured prokaryote. RNAcentral's name for it is "partial 16S ribosomal RNA". It matches the Rfam family "Bacterial small subunit ribosomal RNA", at positions 524 to 777 of the family's 1533-position model. The record is from RNAcentral.
UACGGAGGAUGCAAGCGUUAUCCGGAUUUAUUGGGUUUAAAGGGUGCGCAGGUUGUUUGAUAAGUCAGUGGUGAAAGUCUGUCGCUUAACGGUAGGAUUGCCAUUGAUACUGUUGGACUUGAAUAUGGAUGAGGUAGGCGGAAUGUGUAGUGUAGCGGUGAAAUGCAUAGAUAUUACACAGAACACCGAUUGCGAAGGCAGCUUACUAAACCACUACUGACGCUCAUGCACGAAGGCGCGGGGAUCAAACAGGA